GCCAGUGUGGUGUAGUGGUUUGAGCAUUGAACUAUGACUUUGGAGACCAGGGUUCAAAUCCCUGCUCAGCCA
Molecule: non-coding RNA, 72 nt
Organism: Phrynosoma platyrhinos (Desert horned lizard)
Lineage: Eukaryota; Metazoa; Chordata; Lepidosauria; Squamata; Phrynosomatidae
Source: the annotation of a GenBank genome assembly